GGGGAUUUAGCUCAGCGGCCUAAGCACCUGUCUUGCAAGCAGGCGGUUGUGAGUUCAAUCCCUG
This 64-nucleotide transfer RNA is filed under the name Cavia porcellus (domestic guinea pig). It matches the Rfam family "tRNA". Rfam says of the family: Transfer RNA (tRNA) molecules are approximately 80 nucleotides in length. Their secondary structure includes four short double-helical elements and three loops (D, anti-codon, and T loops). Further hydrogen bonds mediate the characteristic L-shaped molecular structure. tRNAs have two regions of fundamental functional importance: the anti-codon, which is responsible for specific mRNA codon recognition, and the 3' end, to which the tRNAs corresponding amino acid is attached (by aminoacyl-tRNA synthetases). tRNAs cope with the degeneracy of the genetic code in two manners: having more than one tRNA (with a specific anti-codon) for a particular amino acid; and 'wobble' base-pairing, i.e. permitting non-standard base-pairing at the 3rd anti-codon position. The record is from Rfam by way of RNAcentral. Lineage: Eukaryota; Metazoa; Chordata; Mammalia; Rodentia; Caviidae.